Molecule: ribosomal RNA, 253 nt
Filed under: uncultured bacterium
Lineage: Bacteria
Description: partial 16S ribosomal RNA
Rfam family: Bacterial small subunit ribosomal RNA
Source: RNAcentral
UACGAAGGGGGCUAGCGUUGUUCGGAAUUACUGGGCGUAAAGCGCACGUAGGCGGAUCAUCAAGUCGGGGGUGAAAUCCCGGGGCUCAACCCCGGAAUGGCCUUCGAGACUGGUGGUCUUGAGUUCGAGAGAGGUGAGUGGAAUUCCGAGUGUAGAGGUGAAAUUCGUAGAUAUUCGGAGGAACACCAGUGGCGAAGGCGGCUCACUGGCUCGACACUGACGCUGAGGUGCGAAAGCGUGGGGAGCAAACAGG